AGGUGUGUCCUCUUGCUAGCUCUUCUUCUGGGAUGCAGCACUAAGUCCAGAAGCCUCUCUUCUAGGGCUCCACCUAUGCAGUUCUGAGUGGCCUGGGAACAGGCAAUCCCAGAAGAAGAGAGGUAGUAUAAACAGACAGCCCAGAGCAGAACUCACUCAUUUUCUUGCUCUUGAGCUCCUGCCCUCCUGCUUCCCGACACCCCCACUGAGAGGAUAACUGAAUAGAGACACAAUGAUUGUACUUUCUGGUUGGUCUGUCUCACUGUGAUCCCAGUUGGAGCCUGAAUACUGCUAGCACUUCCAGUAAACAUUGAAAAAUAAUGGUGGAAAUUGAUAUCCUUGCUUCACUUCAGUCUUGUUUCUAACAUGUCCUCAGAAGUUACUAAGGUUUAUGGAUGACAUUGAUCAGAGGAUUUUGCUGUGCUCCCUCCCUCUGCUGGGAUUCAAGGACCUGUAACUGUUCCAGGAAGACAGUGAUCACUCCAUCAAGUCCUAAAAAAGAUAACAGAAAUUGUAGAAGGAAUGAGAAAUGAGGAAUGAGGCUCAACAUUCCAGUGCACCUUGAGGCUGCAGAAAAGAAUGACUUGUAAACAUUAAGAGCUGUCCCACAGGCUCAACACCAAUUUAAAUUCAUCUGACACAUUUUAGAGAAGAGGUUGGUAGAACAUUCUGAAUGGUACCACAGCAGAAAACUGAAGAUGCUACAAGUUUGCAGACAGCAUAGGAAAAGAAACAAAAAAUUUAAAAAUCCAUACAAGGACAUUUAAGGAUCUGGAA
Molecule: long non-coding RNA, 777 nt
Organism: Sarcophilus harrisii (Tasmanian devil)
Lineage: Eukaryota; Metazoa; Chordata; Mammalia; Dasyuromorphia; Dasyuridae
Exons: 4
Source: RefSeq, a predicted model, not a curated record